AUACGUAGGGUGCGAGCGUUGUCCGGAAUUACUGGGCGUAAAGAGCUCGUAGGUGGUUUGUCGCGUCGUCUGUGAAAUUCCGGGGCUUAACUCCGGGCGUGCAGGCGAUACGGGCAUAACUUGAGUACUGUAGGGGAGACUGGAAUUCCUGGUGUAGCGGUGAAAUGCGCAGAUAUCAGGAGGAACACCGGUGGCGAAGGCGGGUCUCUGGGCAGUAACGGACGCUGAGGAGCGAAAGCAUGGGUAGCGAACAGGAUUAGAUACCCUGGUAGUCCAUGCCGUAAGCGGUGGGCGCUAGGUGUAGGGGUCUUCCACGACUUCUGUGCCGUAGCUAACGCAUUAAGCGCCCCGCCUGGGGAGUACGGCCGCAAGGCUAAAACUCAAAUGAAUUGACGGGG
RNAcentral lists this ribosomal RNA (398 nucleotides) under uncultured bacterium. RNAcentral's name for it is "partial 16S ribosomal RNA". It matches the Rfam family "Bacterial small subunit ribosomal RNA", at positions 523 to 918 of the family's 1533-position model. The record is from RNAcentral.